Molecule: long non-coding RNA, 2831 nt
Organism: Passer montanus (Eurasian tree sparrow)
Lineage: Eukaryota; Metazoa; Chordata; Aves; Passeriformes; Passeridae
Exons: 4
Source: RefSeq, a predicted model, not a curated record
CUUUUAAUCUCCCCUUUUUUUUUUCCUUUGACCCCCUUUUUUUUUCCUUUUCACCCCCUUUUUUUCUUCACCCCAUUUUUUUCCCUUCAUCUCCCCUUUCCCUCCCAUAAUCAAUUAAGCUGUAAAAUGCCUCAGAGAUAAAAGACUCCAGCCUUGAUGAAGCUCCUCUUCAUGCCCCAUUUUUCUCCCCUUUCUCUUUGUUUUUUUCCCCCUUCACCUCCUAUUUCUUUCCCGAAUCACAGAACCAGUUAGGCUGGAAAAGACCUCUGAGCUCAUUGAUGAAGUUCCCCUUCAUUCUCCCUUUCCCCCCCUUUAUUUCUCUGUCACCCCUCUUUUUUCCCCUUUUACCCCCUUUUCCCCCUCCCUUUUAUUUUUCUUUACAUUCUGCACAUGUAUAAUUUUCCUCCCUCUGUCCAGGAGGUUGGGAGCGAGUUGAAACCUGUUAAUCACUCACCUCCCCUCCAUUUAAAAUACCCAAAAAUUGGCUGUGAAUUGCCUAUAAAAAAGGGGUGUGACUGGCUAUGUGUUAAAAUACCCAAAAAAAGUGCUCUAAAACAUCUGGCUCAGGACAGACCUGCCUGUGACUGAGGUGCUCAGGCCCUUUUUCGUGUAAAUAAUAAUUAAGGGACAGAAAUAAUUCAGCUCAGGACUCUUCCUCCAUUUGAGGUGACCAAGUUAAGCUUUCUUGCAGCUGCAGGUGAUUUUUGUUGCAUGGGGAGAUGUUUUCUCUGUCCAAGUUUGGGAACUCUGCUUUGUGUUUGUGUUAUUUUUUUUUCUCCUUCACUGGACUGUUAUUUCCAGGAUUUGGGAUUUUUAAUCCCUCAGGCAGGGCCUGGCUGUUGAGGUUUUGUUUCUAAGCCUUGCUGGUCUCUGAGCAUGGUUUUAGAUCCUCUUCCCAGAUCCUGAGAGCAUUCCCCAUGUGAACUUCAUCCUUUCUUCUCCUUCACCCACAUCACAACUUCCAAAUCCUCUCACAGUGAAGUUUCAAUUCCCAAAUAUUGAGGAAAUAGGCUGCUUCUGAAGUUGAUCUGUGGGAAAAAACCACACAGUUCAGAUAUUUUGUGUUACCCAGUGCCCAAGUGAUUGGAUUUGUGUGUCUGCUCUCAUGGAUCUCUUCAUCAGCUCGUUUUGCCUGUGAAUCCAAACCAGGUUUUUGGGCAGGACUCUGAGGCUGCUCUGGGUUUGUUGUGGAUGAGCUGCUUGCCAGACUCCAGAAUCCAAGAAGAAUUCCAAGAGGGAAUCCCUUGCAGUGCCAGAUGGAACCCAGGGAGCUGUGGGCUGUGUUUGGUGGAGCUCUCAGCGUGUCCUGAUCCACGCUGACAUUUUGAUGUCAAUGAAAUUCCAUCUUUUUUCCCUCCUGGAAGAAAAAAAAGAUGUAGCUGUACAAAAACCCUGUGGAUGCUGUGGAUGGCAGGUGGAUUCCAUCUCAGUAGGAUUGGGAAUUCCAGCACCUCCUUCCCUUCUUGUUUUGCACCCUUUCUCACCCUUUUGCCGGGGUGUGGAGCCUGGUUUUGUGCUGGAGGAUGGCAGCAGGAGCCUCCUUGGUUCAGAGCAUUAUUUUUGUUGUUGUUUUUGUUUGGCAGAUGUGUGAAUUGUUUGUGUGCUGCCUAUAAAUAAUAAAUGGGUUGCUCAGAUCCUGCAGCGACUCGGAGGGAAACUCAACUUGUUCAGACCUACAAAAUUCAGCUGACCUCAAACACAGAAGGGAAAAGCCAUGAAAGUGUAUUUUCACUCACAGACCACGCUUGCUUGUGAUCCAAUCCAGGAGUAACCGAGUCCCUCCCACUGUUCAUUACAUAAGCAUCUAAUUAAAGGAAUCAAACAGGGAUGACUUGGAAAACUUCAUACUCUGGGUCAAAAAUACUUGCAAAACCACAGCCCCGAGUGCCCAUGUUUUAUUGAUGCUGGGGAGUGCUGUGUAAAUGAAGAAGUUUAUUCUUGGUGUCAGCCUUUAGAGUCUCCUGCUGCUUCUGCAGUCGCUUCCUCGGGCACCAGGAAAAUCCUUUCACUCCUGAUUUCCCUUUGGAAGGAGAAGGGACUUCAUAGUGCUGCUCCCUUCCCUCCCUGGAAGGAGCUGUGGAUUCAGAGCUCUUCUUGUGGUCGCUUUGGGUUGAAAGUUGGGUUAUUUUCAGGCUUAUCAAUUCUGCAUCAUGAGCAUUCCCGUGGAUUUAGGGGUAGAUUGUGAUUUUGGUCCCUUGCUCCGGAAGGAAACUGUGAAUUUCCCUGGGAAUGGUUGGAAUACUUCAGCCCUGAUAAUCAGAAGUGUAUGCAGAUGGAGGUGGUGGUGGAGAGACGUGAAAGACACCUGAAGAACAGAAUGUGGCAGCAAAUAAAAAUCCAUGGUCCAUUUUCAGCUUAUGGGGUGGGGUUGUGAGAGGGGCUGUGGAAGGCUGGAAUUCCCUCAGGAUUUGCACACCAUGCUCAAAGCAGGGAAAGCACAGCGUGAGGGUGGGUCAGGGCUGGAAUUCCAGGAUGCUCAGUUCUGGCUGCUCUCUCUGGGUGUGCAGAGUCCCCUGUGGGAGGCAGCCGGGUCCCGAGGGACACGGAGAGCACCUGGCCUGCUCAGCAGGCUCUGUCAGUGUGGGAUCAGUUUAAACCCAGCUUUAGACCUGAAAGACUGGCAGGCAAAUCUCUCUGGUGUAGUUGGGCUGGAAAUGCAAUUUUUUCCCCUCCAGAAAACACAAAUUUUGAUGUGAGGCUGCGAGUGUGACGUGGGAUUUUCUCAUGGGGUUUUCUCACCUACCUGCUGGGUUUGCACAGGGUCAGUUUCCCUUUUUGGGGUCAUGGAGUCAUCAUGGAAUUGUGGAAUGGUUUGGGCUGGAAGGACCUUA